RNAcentral lists this ribosomal RNA (217 nucleotides) under Triticum aestivum (bread wheat). Its description in RNAcentral is "partial small subunit ribosomal RNA". The record is from RNAcentral. Lineage: Eukaryota; Viridiplantae; Streptophyta; Magnoliopsida; Poales; Poaceae.
GUGAAAACUCUUUCUGGCUUUGCCAGGUCGGCGGCGGCGGCGCCUACGGGCGUCGUAUCCUUCUUGAAGGCGUCGCCGUGGUUCCUCUUCCUCCUCCGUGUUGCUCCGAGGGAAACCUCGAUCCCUGGAUCAGGCGGUGGCGGUACUUAGGUGCCAUGACCUUGUUGAAGGCUCCGCCUUGGAGUAAUCGGUUCGUCGUGCACAGCUCCGACUCUUC